AAAAAAUCGGGGCGAUCUAGGCGGGCGAACCUCGCCAACGAACGAUCGGACAUGGGAUAACGGAAGAGGGCGUCGGCUCGACUUCGUCGGUUCCUCGGGCCGAGGCACGUACGGUGAAUAGGGACGGUCGGGGCCGCCCGUACCGGGUCGUGAGAGGUGAAAUUCUAGGAUCGACCCGAGACGAACUGCCGCGAAAGCAUUCGGCAAGGACGCUUUCAUUAAUCAAGAACGAAAGUCGGGGGAUCGAAGACGAUCAGAUACCGUCGUAGUCCCGACCGUAAACGAUGCCGACCGAGGGCCCGGAGGAGUUACGUACGACCCUCCGGGCCCUCCCGCGAGAAAUCAGGAGUAUUCGAGUUCCGCGCCGCAGCUAACGCAUUAAGCGCCCCGCCUGGGGAGUACGGCCGCAAGGCUAAAACUCAAAGGAAUUGACGGGGGGCCCGCACAAGCGGCGGAGCAUGCGGAUUAAUUCGAUGCAACGCGAAGAACCUUACCAAGGCUUGACAUACGCAGUAAUCCGGC
RNAcentral lists this ribosomal RNA (522 nucleotides) under uncultured bacterium. RNAcentral describes it as "partial 16S ribosomal RNA". It matches the Rfam family "Eukaryotic small subunit ribosomal RNA", at positions 760 to 1248 of the family's 1831-position model. The record is from RNAcentral.